This 253-nucleotide unclassified non-coding RNA is filed under the name uncultured Flavobacteriaceae bacterium. Its description in RNAcentral is "contains 16S-23S intergenic spacer region". It matches the Rfam family "Bacterial small subunit ribosomal RNA", at positions 524 to 776 of the family's 1533-position model. Lineage: Bacteria; Pseudomonadati; Bacteroidota; Flavobacteriia; Flavobacteriales; Flavobacteriaceae. The record is from RNAcentral.
UACGGAGGGUCCGAGCGUUAUCCGGAAUCAUUGGGUUUAAAGGGUCCGUAGGCGGGCCUGUAAGUCAGGGGUGAAAGUUUGUGGCUCAACCAUAAAAUUGCCUUUGAUACUGCAGGUCUUGAGUCAUGGUGGGGUCGCCGGAACAUGUGGUGUAGCGGUGAAAUGCAUAGAUAUCACAUAGAACACCGAUCGCGAAGGCAGGUGACCAACCAUGUACUGACGCUGAUGGACGAAAGCGUGGGUAGCGAACGGG